GCCCAAAACCGCUAAUAAAUAACACAAAAUUACCUACAUACACCAAACCAAAACAUUUACCCAAGCUAGUAGAUGAGAUCGAACACUAUCAAUUAGCCCUGAAAGUACCGCAAGGGAACAAUGAAAGAAAAAUGAAAAACUCUAAGCACAAAAUAGCAAAGAUCAACUCUUGUACCUCCUGCAUCAUGGUUUAGCAAAACCCUUCCAGACAAAGAGAACCUCCAGCCUGCCCACCCGAAACCAAACGAGCUAUUUUUGGGCAGUAAUUAAAUGAACACACCCGUCCCUGUAGCAAAAGGGUGGGAAGACCUAAAAAUAGAGGCGAAAAGCCUACCGAGCUUGGUGAUAGCUGGUUACUCAACAAAGAAUAUAAGUUCAACUUUAGGUAUUUACAAGAGCACCCCUAACUUCUACUUUAACCUAAAGAAAAUCAAUGGGGGUACAGCCCCAUUGAACCGGAAUACAGCCCGAAUUGAGAGUAAUUAUAUUUAUUCUUUUCUAAGUAGGCCCCAAAGCAGCCACCAAACUAUUGCGUUACAGCAUAACUUAAAACAAUUUUAAUCAUUAAAUAAACCUCCCAACAUACUUCGAGUUAUUCUAUACCCCUAUAGAAACACCAAUGCUAAAAUUAGUAAUAAGAAACAAUUAUUUCUCUCCGCACCCCCUUAAAUCAGAACUAGAAAAACUGCUGAUAAUUAACAAACAACGACCUUCAUUUUAUCAAGCUUUAAUGUCACUUACUUUUGUUACCCCAACACAGGCGUGCAAAAAAGAAAGACCAAAAGCCGCAAAAGGAACUCGGCAAAAUUAGUCCCAACUGUUUACCAAAAACAUAGCCUUUAGCUUUACAAGUAUUAAAGGUACCGCCUGCCCAGUGACUCUUUUAACGGCCGCGGUAUCCUAACCGUGCAAAGGUAGCAUAAUCACUUGUCCCCUAAAUAGGGACUAGAAUGAAUGGCUAAAUGAGGACUAAACUGUCUCUUGCAGGCUGGCCAAUGAAAUUGAUUUUCCAGUACAAAAGCUGGAAUAAAAACAUAAGACGAGAAGACCCUGUGGAGCUUCAAAACCGAACUCAUUAAACAUGUUUCUUCGGAUUUUUAGUUGGGGCGACUUCGGAGAACAAAAAAACCUCCAAAACAUGACCUACCCACUUUGUCAAGAUCAACAUACCAAAACAACUACAUGAGACCCAGCAACUACCUUAAUGUUAUCUGACCAGUGAACCAAGUUACCCCAGGGAUAACAGCGCCAUCCCCUUCUAGAGUCCCUAUCGACAAGGGGGUUUACGACCUCGAUGUUGGAUCAGGACAUCCCAAUGGUGCAGCCGCCAUUAAAGGUUCGUUUGUUCAACGAUUAAAGUCCUACGUGAUCUGAGUUCAGACCGGAGAAAUCCAGGUCGGUUUCUAUCUAUGUGGCCCUAUCCUCAGUACGAAAGGACCAAGAUAGCAGGACCAAUACCAAAAGAACGUCCUAAUUAAAACUAUUGAACACCACUAAAAUAAUAAAAGUGCCCCCUACCUAGCCCGAAAUCAGGGCUU
RNAcentral lists this ribosomal RNA (1538 nucleotides) under Algyroides fitzingeri. Its description in RNAcentral is "partial large subunit ribosomal RNA". It matches the Rfam family "Bacterial large subunit ribosomal RNA", at positions 201 to 2820 of the family's 2925-position model. The record is from RNAcentral. Lineage: Eukaryota; Metazoa; Chordata; Lepidosauria; Squamata; Lacertidae.